CAAUCGGCUCUUUUCAGAGCCACCGAUUCUUUAUUAAGAACAUCUGU
Anopheles merus is the source of this 47-nucleotide non-coding RNA. The record is from Rfam. NCBI's taxonomy places the organism in Eukaryota, Metazoa, Arthropoda, Insecta, Diptera, Culicidae.